UCGAGAAUCUUCGGCAAUGGGCGCAAGCCUGACCGAGCGACGCCGCGUGGAGGACGAAGGCCUUCGGGUUGUAAACUCCUGUCGAGGGGGAAGAAGGGGCGAAAGCCCUUGACUGAUCCCUGGAGGAAGCACGGGCUAAGUUCGUGCCAGCAGCCGCGGUAAGACGAACCGUGCGAACGUUAUUCGGAAUCACUGGGCUUAAAGCGCGUGUAGGCGGGUCGGAACGUCGGCCGCUGAAAUCCCCCGGCUUAACCGGGGAAGGGGCGCCGAUACGACCGGCCUGGAGGAACGUAGGGGGAGCUGGAACUUCCGGUGGAGCGGUGAAAUGCGUUGAGAUCGGAAGGAACGCCCGUGGCGAAAGCGAGCUCCUGGACGUUUUCUGACGCUGAGACGCGAAAGCCAGGGGAGCGAACGGGAUUAGAUACCCCCGUAGUCC
RNAcentral lists this ribosomal RNA (436 nucleotides) under uncultured bacterium. RNAcentral's name for it is "bacterial SSU rRNA". It matches the Rfam family "Bacterial small subunit ribosomal RNA", at positions 355 to 796 of the family's 1533-position model. The record is from RNAcentral.